This is a long non-coding RNA of Triticum aestivum (bread wheat), 2843 nucleotides long. RefSeq lists it as uncharacterized. The record is from RefSeq and is a predicted model, not a curated record. The transcript is spliced from 9 exons. NCBI's taxonomy places the organism in Eukaryota, Viridiplantae, Streptophyta, Magnoliopsida, Poales, Poaceae.
GCACUCGCGUGUCGUCGUCGCCAUCUUCCACAGGUCUUCAGAUCAUAUUGAGGCUUCUACCUUGUCUGGCCACUCUGCCAUCGACGUCACCAUGAUGCCAGACAGCAACCUCCUCCUGCUCGAGUCCAGCACCGCGCAUCGGGCGCCGAGUCUCCACUGCACCACGCCGCCGAGAUCCGCCGUCAUCAAUGUGCAGGAUGAAGCACCGCUCCACCAAAAAACCGCCCACUGGUCCCUCAAACCCGUGUACGCCUCCAAGAAUGACGCCCCCAAGGAGGAAACGACACCAACGCACCGCCGUCAUCUGAUCUAAUGAUCUAGGGUUUCCCCCGGAGGUAGCGGAUAGAGGUCUGGAGCUUCUCCACGGCGAGGCCUUCAAGAAGGUAAUGACACGAGAAAGUGUCGCCAACACCGGUCUUGGCAUCAAGCCAAGAAUUAGGUUUUCACCCGGAUCCGCUGAAGGAACCGCCAUCCAGCAUCGUGUGCACGGGUCGCCGCCGAUCUGAGCCGCCGCACAUUGAGGUCGCACUGGCCAGAUCAGAUCUGUCCGGAGGGCAACCCACACAUGGCGCCGACCGAACCCAGGCCCUCCAUGCCGCCAAGGGCCAGAGGCGCCGGGGCCUCCACCACGCGCAGCCGCCCUGCCACCCACGCGGCCCAGGACGGCCAGCACCGCCACAUCCCGUCGACGGUGCGCGCCCACCAGAUCCGAGCAGAACGCCCCGAUCCGCCGUCAAAACGGUCAGCCGCCGCUCCUCCACCGCGAGGAAGAGAGGAGGGGACCGCCGCUCCCUGGGGCCGCCGCCCUAGCAUCCAGCGCCACUGCGCCAUAGAAGAGGCCAGAGGGCCAGAUCCAUGCCGGCGCGCAGCUCCGCGUCGCAUGGCGCGCCGUCCAGGGCUGACCUCCAUGCGUGACAGGAGAGGAAAGGCCCGCCGCCGCCGGCAACCGCACGGGCUUUGCCCGGCGGGGACGCUCGACGGCGGCGAGGGGGAGGGAGCAGGAGGGGGGUGGCGGUGGCGGCGGGGUUAGGUCACCCGAGCCGCCCCCCUGAGAGCGACGCGGGUGCGAGUCACCAGACCCAAGACUGUUCAUGGUGUUAGAGGGCUCAGUGGUAGCUCCGCUUGCCGAUGGUAUAUUCAUGAGGAUAUACCCGAUAUCAAUUCCUUCAGUGCUAGCAUGGGAGACUGAGUUCACUCCUCUCACAGUUUAUGCUCCCUCAGGGCAAAAUGCCAUUUAACCCUCUGUGCAUCCAGAUCCAAUUGUUCAACCGUGCUUCAGCUGGCUCAACUUGGUCCUUUUGACGAAAUGAACAAGUGGUUCCACUGUACUGCUGUUGUUGACAGAAUUAUGCCUGAUAAGCGUUGGUGGUUUGCUUCGUGUGGCGCAUGCCGCAAAUCCGCUAGGUUCCUCGGUGACCGGUGCCAAUGCUCAGACAUUAGCUGCACUUCUGGUGGUGCAGACCUAACAUACUGUGUUGGUGUCAUAGCGACCGAUGGCACGACGGAGGCUGAGUUUGUCCUCUUUGACAAAGUUGCGACAGGGGCCAGGGAAAUCUCUUGUGGCCUUGCUGUGGCAGAGAUACCCUGGCCAAGCUACGCUUGAGGACGCGGCACGUUUGGCUGCGCUUGACAUGACUAUCCGACCAGAUUCGAUCAGCUUGUUGGACAGAAGUCUAAGCUCCUGGUUUCCAUAAGAAGAGUCUUUUUUUUUCAAAAUUGGAGAAUUUGUCUUUCCAGAUAAGCAUGAUAGAAGAGACUUAUAAUCCUGAGCUACCGUCAUCUGUUUUUGGUCUCGCUUCAGCCUCCGAUAAAUCAUCCUCAUCCAGUCAGGUUUUGGAGCUGGGUGCCCCUUAUGUGGGUAAUGCUGUGUCGACCGUAAUGAGCCCACCUUGUGGCCUGAGUCUCCAUGAUGGACAUACCUUACCUGCUAGCGGCCAGUCACCCACAAUUCAGCCUCACACGCUGACUUUCCACGGUACCGGCUUGCCCUUCACCUCCAGUGGCAGGCAAGUCAACUGCUCAUAAAUGUGGUCCAAGGCGUUCUCACGGUUCAUGCUAUUGUGAGCAGCAUUUCCUCUUCGCAAGAAACGUUCACAACCCUACUGGUUCAUGCUAUUAAUUGGACAAUCAUGAUACACUCGGUUAAAACCUUGUGAUGGUGCCCCAACUGAUCAUGUUUUCACACCUAUGAUUCAGACAGCAUUUGAACUUGCAGGUAUUUGUGGAAAUGUUUCUCCAGUUAUUGGCAGGGGAGCUCGUGAGGCCAUCAACUAAGCUGGGUGCUUUAUGGCGAGCUUGAUCAUGGACUGACAUGUGAUCAAAAUAUUUAAUUCUCUAUCAGAAAGAAGAGCAGAUUAUAGCGGAAGAGUUUGGUGGAGAAGAAGAGCAAGGUGAUUUAUCUCUCUUGUGAACACAGUCAAGUUUAAUCUGAGCAAUUGGUUAAUUGGUGCCUAUUUUUAGUAACUUAAUAUACCUUCUGUAUAGAAAGCACAGAAAAUGUCACGGGCUGUAUUCAGGCUGUUAUGUGCUAUUCAUGAUCUGAGAAAUAUUUCAUGUAGUUUUCGAGGUUAAGUGGGCCCGCCUUGUGUUUGAUAGUCCAUUCUUGGUUGGUGAAUACUAGAGGCUGGGGCGCCCCUCGGGGGGGCUCCUUGCCGGUUAGGUGCAUUCCAAUCACCACGCAUGAUUCAUAUUAUGCGAUUCGGCUCUGUCCACCUAUCAUCCAGUCAGUAUCUACAAGGUCUUUUACUAUUUUUUAGGUAAUUCAGAGCAAAAAUGUACGGGAAGUGACACUGCUUAUGUGCAAGGUACACAAUAACCCAUAUCAUGUUGGUAUGAAGAAGACA